UAAAAUUCUAAAGGUCUACCAUCAAACUACUGUCCAAUUUUAUCUCCAAAAUUCAACCUAUGUUAUAAAUUCAAACAUGGCAAUCAAAACCACUGUCCAUUCAAAAUUUUCGCUCCAGUUUCAAAAUUCAAACCGUAUACAUAUAUAACCUAGGUUAUUCUGCCCCGACGUUCAAAAUUCAAACCAUAAAGUCAAUCCACAUCUCUCUCAAAUCCGGAGCUCACAAUUCAUUAUUCUCUUCAUACCCUAAAUUAGAACAAAAUUUGGUAGAGUAAAUGGAAGCUGAAGAAUUUGAUACUGUUUCGGAGUGUGUCAGAGGUUUGAGUGCGAGAAGAAGCAAAGACCCAGUGAAUAAAUACUCAAGAAUAACAACGAAAUUCGAUGAAGAUGUGAAGAAUUCAAGCUUUAGAAGCGCAGAGAUGAUAUUUGAUUCGAAAGGUGACAUCAUCGGAAAGAAUUAAUCUUUUGCUUAUGAUCUGAUUGUCUUGAAUCUAUUCAAGUACGGUUCAGUUCCUCGAUCAAAAGAUUCAAGUGUUCGAUGAGUGUUCAAGUAUGAUUCAUUGAUCCAGACGAUUCAUUGAUCUUCAUAGAGAUUCUCGAAGCAUAUGUGCGAUUUGGAUGAUUAGGCAUAAGCUAAUUGAGUAUGAUGCUUUGCUAUUGGAUAAGUUUCUAUAUAUUCUUCAAGAUUUACAUGGUGAAGAUCUUAAGGAAAUGGCAUAGAAGAAUUAUGUAUAUCAAGACGGAGUUGCAAGGAUAGUGUAUGCUCAGUCACUUGCUUCAGUAGACUUGAACUAGCGAGCAUCAAUGCAUAAGGAGUUGAAGCAUUGUCCAAUAUAAAGUGUUUUCAGCGUGAGCCCGUUCAACAGAGUCCUAAGAGUUGUAGAGUCGUUCACACAAAGCUUCUAGCUGGGCUAAGCUCUCCAUUCUUAAUUGAAGAAGGGACUUAUCUAAUUUAAGAAAGCUUACUGUUUUUUAGUUUAGUAUAUUAGACAUAUAAUUUUUCAUGUUCUAUGCAAAGCAGGUCUGAAGUUCAAUCAACAGAAGCUUUAUAAUAACAGGCAGCUGAAGAAUCUUUUGAAACUCCUCUAUUGAAGGAUCAGGAUUCAAAAGCUGAUAAGAAAAGCGAGAAUAAAGAAUUAAUUGCUUGGAUUUGAUUCUAUGAGCACCGUCUCCGGGGAUGCACAUAACAAUGCAGAGCUUCUAUCAUUUAGCUUAAAGAGUUUAUUGGCUGCAACAGGUUCAUUUUCAGUUAAAAGCAAGCUUGGAGAUGGUAGGUUUGGUUCUGUUUACAAGGUCUGAAGUUCAAUCAAAAGAAGCUUCAUCACAACAGGCAGCUGAAGAAUCUUUGGAAACUCCUCUAUUGAAGGAUCAGGAUUCAACAGCUGAUCAAGGGAAACAAGUGAAAUUAGGGUUCCUCACUUGUCUUGUGUCCAAAGGAAGAUCUUUGGCUUUUGAAAGAAUCUUAUUCUGUGCUACAAGAGGAAAUGUGUUUCUGAGGCAAUCUUUUGUCGAUGAAGUUGUUAUUGAUCCUAAUUCAGGAGAAAAGUUUAAGAAAAAUGUUUUUGUGGUUUUCUUUUCUGGAGAAAGAGCGAAGAGCAAAAUUCUUAAGAUAUGUGAAGCGUUUGAGGCAAAUCGCUAUCCUUUUGCUGAAGAUUUGGGCAAGCAAGCCCAAAUCGUACUUAAGGUAUCCGGGAAGCUAUCUGAGCUGAAAACAACAAUAGAUGCUGGACUAUUGCACCGUGCGAAUCUGUUGGAAACCAUAGGAAAACAAUACAAACAGUGGAGUGUUCUAUUAAUAAAGCUAAGCGGGGAUAGGGAGGUCCAGAGAACUAUGUUAGAACUACUUAAUCAGUUGGAUGGUUUCAGCAGUGAUGAGAGAAUUAAGGUGAUAACAACAACAAAUCGUGCUGAUAUUUUGGACCCUGCCCUCAUGCGUUCUGGACGAUUGGAUCGUAAGAUUGAGUUCCCUCAUCCUACUGAGGAAGCCAGGGCCCGGAUCAUGCAGCUUCAACUGAAAUCCUCAUGGGUAAUUUCGUCAUUCCGUAUCAAAGCUAAGCGAGAUCCUACCGUACUUCCUAAAGACAAGUCUCAGGCGAAGUGCAAACAGAAACUCUAAAUAUAGCAAAAUACGAUGAGCCGAUAGGAAAAAGAAUCUUACAAGUUAUAUCGCGUCAUCGGAUAUGCAAGCUGGUGAUGGGAAUUACAUUCUUAAAAUCAUCUUCAAUCUAUCUCUGUUCAGUGAGAGAGUUGGUUCCGUGAGAGAUGACACGGUUCAGUGAGAGAGUUGGAUCUUAGAAUUGAGAUGAGAGAGUUGGAUCUUAGAAUUGAGAUGAAUUGAUUUCAGAAAUUGAGAUGAAGAGAGAAGAAAGAUUGCAAUAUCUAUACACCUAUUUAUACUUUCUAUUAAAAUAUAUUAUGGAUGGUUUUCUAAGAAACGACCUGUGUUUGCACACCUCUUACCGCUAGUAAAUAUUAAUAUGAGAACUGGAAUGAGAACUAAAAUGAAAAGUGUUCUUAUCCUGUUCAUCAAUGUGUAUUACCGUCCACCUGGAUCGAUGUCAUCUCCCUUUUACCAGUUGGUGCUCAUUUCUCAACUACAUAAUCUUUUCAUACAUGUUUUCCUUUGCUUCUCUGCCCUACUGAUGCUACGGUGCGAGUUUUCCAGUGAACAUCCAUCGUUUGUCACCAGAUUCGUCGCUGGGUUAGAGGUGGUGUGAGGGUUUCUUUGCCAAGCUCGAUGCCCUUAAAGCUGGGUGGCGAUGGUGUGAUGGUGGCCAUUCAUUUGAUGGUAUGGUGGUGGCCGUGGGGUUGGGCCUUACUCCAAGGCGUUCUUGGUUAGCAGGUAACUCCACAAUCUAAUUAGCGUCAUAUUGUAUAACAAUCUCUGGUUUCCAAUCAUUUACUGUGUUAGCAUUUAAUAGCUGAUGAUGCUUUGAGUUCUGGUGUUUGUUUUGUUAUAAUUUCCCCAGAUUCCAAGCAAAACGGUACCGUUUUACCUUUUGGUUUUUAACCAAAACUCACCAAAUAGUUCUUACUACCUAUUUCAAGCAUGCAUACAUCAGUUACUAAAAUAGAAAUCUGGAUGAUAACUUACCACAAGUUUUUUAUCAACUAAUUUUUUUUUUCUGAAAUUGCGUUUAAUUUUGUUACAUCGUUACUUUGCUUUUAAAAUCUACAUGAAGAGUGCUAAGUUAUCUUGGUUAGUAAAAAGGUAUAGCGAAGAUUUCAUUUUCUUUGGCCUUUUUUGUGUAGUACUACAGUUGGAUGAUUACUUAUAACCACCAUCAACGAAUAAGAGGCUCACAUUUGAUGGGAUUGUGAAAGUCCCAAUUGGUGCAUACACAAAGUAUGGAAUCAUCAUCAUCAUCAUACUCAGUAAAUCCCACCAAUGGCAAAGCUAAGGUAGGGUCUGAGGAGGGUAAGAUGUAGACAGCCUUACCUCUACCCCAUAGGAAUAGAGA
This is an RNA transcript of Helianthus annuus (common sunflower), 3461 nucleotides long. It is a transcript of the gene named V-type proton ATPase subunit a3-like, with no coding region annotated. NCBI's taxonomy places the organism in Eukaryota, Viridiplantae, Streptophyta, Magnoliopsida, Asterales, Asteraceae. The transcript is spliced from 11 exons. The record is from RefSeq and is a predicted model, not a curated record.